AUUUUAGUCUUGUAAUUGGAAUGAGUACAAUUUACAUCUCUUCACGAGGAUCAAUUGGAGGGCAAGUCUGGUGCCAGCAGCCGCGGUAAUUCCAGCUCCAAUAGCGUAUAUUAAAGUUGUUGCAGUUAAAACGCUCGUAGUCGGAUUUCGGGGCNAGNCCGCCGGUCUGCCGAUGGGUAUGCACUGGNNGGRUCGUCCUUCCUUCCGGAGACCGGCCCUACUCUUAACUGAGCGGGGUYGGGAGWCGGAUCGUUUACUUUGAAAAAAUCAGAGUGUUUCAAGCAGGCAGCUCGCUUUUGCAUGGAUUAGCAUGGGAURAUGAAAUAGGACUUUGGUGCUAUUUU
This 344-nucleotide ribosomal RNA is filed under the name uncultured eukaryote. RNAcentral's name for it is "partial small subunit ribosomal RNA". It matches the Rfam family "Eukaryotic small subunit ribosomal RNA", at positions 496 to 853 of the family's 1831-position model. The record is from RNAcentral.